AACGUAGGUGGCGAGCGUUAUCCGGAUUUACUGGGCGUAAAGAGCGCGCAGGCGGUCGUUCAAGUCGAGUGUGAAAGCCCCCGGCUCAACUGGGGAGGGUCACUCGAUACUGAUCGACUCGAAGGCAGGAGAGGGAAGUGGAAUUCCCGGUGUAGUGGUGAAAUGCGUAGAUAUCGGGAGGAACACCAGUGGCGAAGGCGACUUCCUGGCCUGUUCUUGACGCUGAGGCGCGAAAGCUAGGGGAGCAAACGGG
This 253-nucleotide ribosomal RNA is filed under the name uncultured bacterium. RNAcentral describes it as "partial 16S ribosomal RNA". It matches the Rfam family "Bacterial small subunit ribosomal RNA", at positions 524 to 776 of the family's 1533-position model. The record is from RNAcentral.